AAUGAACGCUGGCGGCGCGCCUAGUACAUGCAAGUCGAGCGAGAAGACGCAGCAAUACGUUUGUAAAGCGGCGAACGGGUGAGGAAUACAUGGGUAACCUACCCUCGAGUGGGGAAUAACUAGCCGAAAGGUUAGCUAAUACCGCGUACGCUUCUUGGACUUCGGUUCAGGGAGGAAAGCGAUGCCGAGGGUAUCGCGCUCUUGGAUGGGCUCAUGUCCUAUCAGCUUGNGGUGAGGUAACGGCUCACCAAGGCUUCGACGGGUAGCUGGUCUGAGAGGACGAUCAGCCACACUGGCACUGCGACACGGGCCAGACUCCUACGGGAGGCAGCAGUAAGGAAUAUUGCGCAAUGGGCGAAAGCCUGACGCAGCGACGCCGCGUGGGGGAUGAAGGU
This 395-nucleotide ribosomal RNA is filed under the name uncultured bacterium. RNAcentral describes it as "bacterial SSU rRNA". It matches the Rfam family "Bacterial small subunit ribosomal RNA", at positions 29 to 415 of the family's 1533-position model. The record is from RNAcentral.